CCCAGUUUCGAUGUAACCCACUCGUGCACCCCAACUGAUCUCAGCAUCUUUACUUUCACCCAGCGUUUCUGGGUGAGCAAAAACAGGAAGGCAAAAUGCCGCAAAAAAGGGAAUAAGGGCGACACGGAAAUGUUGAAUACUCAUACUCUUCCUUUUUCAAUAUUAUUGAAGCAUUUAUCAGGGUUAUUGUCUCAUGAGCGGAUACAUAUUUGAAUGUAUUUAGAAAAAUAAACAAAUAGGGGUUCCGCGCACAUUUCCCCGAAAAGUGCCACCUGACGUCUAAGAAACCAUUAUUAUCAUGACAUUAACCUAUAAAAAUAGGCGUAUCACGAGGCCCUUUCGUCUCGCGCGUUUCGGUGAUGACGGUGAAAACCUCUGACACAUGCAGCUCCCGGAGACGGUCACAGCUUGUCUGUAAGCGGAUGCCGGGAGCAGACAAGCCCGUCAGGGCGCGUCAGCGGGUGUUGGCGGGUGUCGGGGCUGGCUUAACUAUGCGGCAUCAGAGCAGAUUGUACUGAGAGUGCACCAUAUGCGGUGUGAAAUACCGCACAGAUGCGUAAGGAGAAAAUACCGCAUCAGGCGCCAUUCGCCAUUCAGGCUGCGCAACUGUUGGGAAGGGCGAUCGGUGCGGGCCUCUUCGCUAUUACGCCAGCUGGCGAAAGGGGGAUGUGCUGCAAGGCGAUUAAGUUGGGUAACGCCAGGGUUUUCCCAGUCACGACGUUGUAAAACGACGGCCAGUGAAUUCGAGCUCGGUACCGUAAUACGACUCACUAUAGGGCGACAUAUGAUCGAUGAUAUCCCAUGGGCGGCCGCCUGCAGACCAGGUCUAUCCAGAUUAUGGACCCUGGUGAAAAAUACCAAUAGUUUUUAUACCGUUACCCUGCUGGAUGCCGAUCCCAAGGCGGUCUUUUCUAAUACUCUGUUCCGGCGUGAACGUCGUGAUGAUGCGGCGAUCCAGUACAACAAGUAUUUCUGGAAGGAAGAUGCCCUAAUAUAUGCCGCAAGACUGGAGAUCUGGAUCCCUCGAGUCUAGAGUCGACCUGCAGGCAUGCAAGCCUGGCGUAAUCCAUGUCCAAUUUUCCC
RNAcentral lists this ribosomal RNA (1083 nucleotides) under uncultured bacterium. RNAcentral describes it as "partial 16S ribosomal RNA". The record is from RNAcentral.